AUGGCAGCCACCAUGGGCUCGGGAGUAAAAGUCCCUCGCAAUUUCCGACUGUUGGAAGAACUCGAAGAAGGUCAGAAAGGAGUAGGAGAUGGCACAGUUAGCUGGGGCCUAGAAGAUGACGAAGACAUGACACUUACAAGAUGGACAGGGAUGGUAAUUGGGCCUCCAAGAACAAUUUAUGAAAACCGAAUAUAUAGCCUUAAAAUAGAAUGUGGACCUAAAUACCCAGAAGCACCCCCCUUUGUAAGAUUUGUAACAAAAAUUAAUAUGAAUGGAGUUAAUAGUCCUAAUGGAGUGGUGGACCCAAGAGCCAUAUCAGUGCUAGCAAAAUGGCAGAAUUCAUAUAGCAUCAAAGUUGUUCUGCAAGAGCUUCGGCGUUUAAUGAUGUCUAAAGAAAAUAUGAAACUUCCUCAGCCACCUGAAGGACAGUGUUACAGCAAUUAAUCAAAAACCCCACAGGCCCUCCCCACCAGCCCGCACCCCGAUUCGAUUUAAACAGUCUUCAUUUUCCACAGUAAUAAAUUUUCUAGUUACGUCUUGUAGACCUCAAAGUACUGGAAAGAAAGCUCCCAUUCAAGGCAUUUUAUCUUAAGAUACUGUAAAUGAUACUAAUUUUUUGUCCAUUUGAAUAUAUAAGUUGUGCUAUAACAAAUCAUCCUGUCAGGUGUAACCACUGUCCACACAGUUGAGCUUCUGGGAUCAAGAAAGGAUAUUUAAAUUGAUCCCCGUCUGGACUGAUGGGGCGCAUCUAACUUAACUGUGAAAAGACACGUCACACAGUCACCUUGCUGCUGAUGUCACGGCCCAGGCGUUGCCUGCCCACCCCACCCCCACCCUGCCUCCACCGCCUGGAGCCCUGGCCUGGGUGGCUGGUUGAGUCCAUGUGAAGGCUUCAGGUUGCCGCCUGUGGGACUACUGUUGGGUGUGGGGGUGCUUUGCCUGUGCCCUGGCUUCUUUUUUUAAGUCUUCAGUGACACCCCCUUCCAAGCCAUCGACCUGUCCCACUCUCCUCCACUCCCACCCUUGGCUGAAGCAUAGAUUGUAACCCUCCAACCCCCUCUGAAAUUGGCCUUCGGUGAGGAAUUCAGGGCUUUCCCCAUCUCUCCCCCACCUUGAUCGAGGGGUGCUGCUUUUCCUCUUCCUCCUUCCCUUUGUCACACUGUCACCCCAACGCUCUCCAUGCCCCUUCCUUCCUCUGGCCAGAAGCCAUCAGGUAAGGUUGGAAAGAGUCUCUGACCUCCCUCCUUUAGCUUUGGAACCACAGUCAUUCAUUCUGCACCAGCCUGGGAAGUGAGUACCGGGCCCCGGGCUGCCGCCUGCUUCCACCAUCGGCCGAUGUCAGCUCAGGUGUGAUG
Octodon degus (degu) is the source of this 1355-nucleotide RNA transcript. It is a transcript of the gene named ubiquitin-conjugating enzyme E2 variant 1 pseudogene, with no coding region annotated. Lineage: Eukaryota; Metazoa; Chordata; Mammalia; Rodentia; Octodontidae. The transcript has a single exon. The record is from RefSeq and is a predicted model, not a curated record.